GGGACAAGAGUGACAAUAAACAAGGAAGCCAUGCGCAUGGAGAAGUAAUCACGCAUUGAGGCAAGUGCUGCAAAGGAAGACGGUGCCGUGUAAAGAAAAUAUAUAGGGUGGUGGUGCUUAAUUUCAAUAGGGGGGUUGGAGAAGUCUUCUCCGAGGGGGUGACAUUGAGGUUGAGAUUUGAUGGAUGAGAAGGAGCGAGCUAGGACAAGAGAAGAAGAGAGACAGUGUUCUCAGUGGAGGGACCUUCUUGUGCAGAGGGCGUGAGCUGGAACCAGACCAGCAGUUCCAAGGAACGGAGAAGCUGCCGUGCAGGGCUGGAGUGUGAUGAGCAAGGCAGGAACAGCACAUCAUCCGGUGAGAGAAGCAGACAGCGGCCAGGCCACACAGAGCCCUGCAGGGCACGCUGGCAGAGUUGCUUGAAAUGAAGCCGUUCCCUGAAAAGCACACAUGAAUUUCCCCUGCGGAAAAUUCAAACAGACACACUUGAGGAUUUCCACUAAAUUCUCUCUGGCCCCCAGAGCACUGGGGAAGCAUGUGAGACCUGUGCCAUCCCGGAACUGUGGCGACAAUGGUAGUUAACGUCCAUCAUCUGCAGGCACCUUCAGGAUGUGGAGCAUGCAGAGAUGACUCACGCCCACACCGGUGACCUCCAACACACCAGGGAAGGCAGGAAAAGGCUGUGUGCCAGGAUCUUGUUCUGGGCUAGAAAAGUAUGCCUGUUCGUUACCCGACCUUUGCUAAGUACACCAACUAAUGGAGCGAGAGACAUGAAAGAUCUUCACAGGCCAUGUGGAAAUGUAAUUCAAACCCAGCCCGAGGAGGUCAUAGUGUUCAGCAAGUAAACAUGGAGCCUGCUGAAGCUGGGAAUGCAAAGUGUGCAAGAAGCCUGCCUAUGGGAACCUACGGCUCAGCAGGGAGACAUGAAAUAGCUGGGAACGCCCCCUGCACAGUGUAAAGGGCGUGCUACCUUGGGAAGGGGACAGAAACAGAGGAGAGGGGGGAUCCUGGCCAGCAGGGGUGUCACAGAAGGCUUUUUAAAGGAGGGGGCCUUGGAGCUGAACUUUGAGGCCAGUGGCAUUCGAACACAUCCACGGGUCUCCCUUUCGGAUUUCAGUGCCCUCUUGGCCUUGGGCUGAUGAGCUAAGUUGCUACUGGAGAAUGACCUUUCACAGGAAAUUCAGAACCCCAGUCAUCAAUGUUUGACUACCCUGUCACCAAGUCCCUCCAUUGCCCUGGCUUGAUGUGGCUGCGAGAAGUCACCUGUUCAGGCCCCUCCUGCCUCCUCCACACACUGACCUCCCUCAGACUCAGAACAGCCGAUGCUGCCCUCUGAGGCCUGCCCCUUUGCACAGGCUUUGCCCACAUCUGGGCUCCUGGAUUCCUCAGAAGCCGGCUCCUGGGGCCUGUCCAGCAAGGCUUGGAAGCCCGGGUCCCCAAAGACCUGCUAGUUAAUGAGUUCUGCAAAAACUAGGUCUGUCUGUAAUCGAAAUGGGAGUACAAGGCUCACACGGUCCCUGAAUUAAUUCAGUCCUGUUAGAAAGGGAGCAAGGCAGAGUUUCUGCUGCUGUCUGCAGGACCCAUGGAGGGGUUCUAUGCACCAUUACUUCCAUUUGGGGACCCAUUGUUUUCCAUCACUUCAGCACAAUCUGGAAAACAUUCUCCAAGUCUAUUAUUCCUGUCUCCUGCUGCCACACUGAGGCAGUUGUUAACAAUGCCCUCUGCCCACCCCGGACCCCUCCUCCAUUUAAAUACCAGUCUGAUGGGCAAAGAGAGCAUUUAAUGACUGCUCCAGACUAAAAAGUUCCUAUUAUUUUAUUCCCUUCUUACUCCUGCCCAAUUUCCUUCCAGAUGGGGCAGGUGGGUAUAAAAUAUAUGGAGCUGGAAUUACAAUAGCAAGAAGACAGGUGGGGAAAUUGAAUGUGGUUGGAAAAUUUGUCCGUAUGCCUACAGGUGUGUCUUAUGAGAUCUUGCAGGCUACCACCACCCCCGCUACCCCAGCCUGGCCAUUCUCCAAAUGGUCUGGGAAUGGGGAAUAUGAGUGGCCAAGACUUCCCCUCCUGUUGGAGUGGUCUGAGUAUCCAGGCAGAAGGAAAGGAGAUAUUUAGCAAGGGGGCGCUUAGAAUGGCAGCCUUGAAGAGGUGCAGGCAGUGCUGACUUGACACUACCUUCACCAUCAGGUGUUGGGCCCCCAGUACGAUACCACAGAGUCUUUAUGCCUUCCUUCUGGAUUCUCUUCUUUCCUCUCCUUACUCAGAUGCCACCUCCAUUGGGAAGUCUUCCUUGAUUACCCCAGAGUUAGUUUCUCCGUCCUUUCUGCUCCUCUCUCUGCAUCCCUAUUAAAUGUGUUAUUGGUCUAUGAUGUUCUGCAUUACAACCUGUGUUUGAUGGCUGGUGACUUCCUGUACAGAGGAGAUUUAGGGACAUGCAUGCUUGAGAAAGACUCCUGUUCUCCACUUGCUUGCUGUGUGACUGUACAAAUUUCUAUUAUCUCUGUAACUCCAUCUGCAACAUGAGGACAAAAAAAUCUACGUCACAAGGCUGCUGUAAGGAGUAAGAUCCAGCUUCCUUCUCUCCACCUCAGCCAUUUACAGUCACUACUAUUGGGAAACUAGGGCUCUGGAGUCAGAUCAGCCUGGGUUUGAAUCCUGGCUCCACCACUUUCCAGCUGUCUUUGGCCCUGUUACAAUCCUUCUGUGCCUCAGUUUUUCAUCUGUAAAAUGGUGGUAACUCCUAUCCCAUAUCUCAUACACUUCUUGGGAGAAUAAACUAGGGUAAUGCACGUAGAUUGCUCAGCAUAGGCCUGGCAACAUUCUGAAAGUUAGCUAUCAUUAUUGGUAGUGUUGUCACUAAAACUGUGAGUUGGUGGAGUCCGAAAUCUCAGCCUAGUAUAGUGCCCAGAGCCCAGUGAGUACUGAGUAUAUAAAAAGGAAAAUGUUUCAUUGUAAACUGGGAACCAUGAUCCAAAUGUAAUGCUCAGAAAUGUCACCCCUUGUCAAUUAUGAAUGAUUAGGACAUGAUGCAGGUGACUUGAGCCUGCAUCAGAGACCAUGGGCUUGGGAGAUGCCCAGGGGUGCCUGCCCCUUUGGCUGUCACAGUCUCCAGUUCUUCCAGACUAUGCCAGGUGCAGGUGAGCUGGAGGUAACAGACACUCACCCACUGAUAGCCAGAAGUCUAACCCAGGAGGAAAGAAAACCCAGGGCUGCCAGUUCACACACAGUUGGGAGCACUUGCUAGUGAGUCAUGGUCAAUGGCCAAACAGAUGAGAAGAACCAAGGAAAGGGUUGGCAUUUGCUGGGGUCUGCUGAUUCCCAAGCUCUGGCCUGUGGUGAAGCAGCAGAAAUGUGCCAAGC
This is a long non-coding RNA of Homo sapiens (human), 3350 nucleotides long. The record is from Ensembl. NCBI's taxonomy places the organism in Eukaryota, Metazoa, Chordata, Mammalia, Primates, Hominidae.